GGGGGCAAGCGUUGUUCGGAAUUACUGGGCGUAAAGGGCUCGUAGGCGGCCAACUAAGUCAGACGUGAAAUCCCUCGGCUUAACCGGGGAACUGCGUCUGAUACUGGAUGGCUUGAGUUUGGGAGAGGGAUGCGGAAUUCCAGGUGUAGCGGUGAAAUGCGUAGAUAUCUGGAGGAACACCGGUGGCGAAGGCGGCAUCCUGGACCAACACUGACGCUGAGUGAGCGAAAGCCAGGGGAGCAAACGGG
RNAcentral lists this ribosomal RNA (248 nucleotides) under uncultured bacterium. RNAcentral's name for it is "partial 16S ribosomal RNA". It matches the Rfam family "Bacterial small subunit ribosomal RNA", at positions 530 to 776 of the family's 1533-position model. The record is from RNAcentral.